AGUUCGAUUCUGGCUCAGAUUGAACGCUGGCGGGAUGCUUUACAUGCAAGUCGAACGGCAGCACGAGACUUCGGUCUGGUGGCGAGUGGCGAACGGGUGAGUAAUGUAUCGGAACGUGCCUAGUAGCGGGGGAUAACUACGCGAAAGCGUAGCUAAUACCACGCCACGCCCUUCGAGGAGAAAGCGGGGGACCUUCGGGCCUCGCACUGUGAAACGGCCGAUAUCGGAUUAGCUAGUUGGUGGGGUAACGGCUCACCAAGGCGACGAUCCGUAGCUGGUUUGAGAGGACGACCAGCCACACUGGGACUGAGACACGGCCCAGACUCCUACAGGGAGGCAGCAGUGAAUUUUGGACAAUGGGGAUGCUAGUCCAACCAUCCCGCGUGUGCGAUGAAGGCCUUCGGGUUGUAAAGCACUUUAGCAGGAAAGAAACGGCACGGGAUAAUACCCCGUACAUGACGUACCUGCAGAAUAAGCACCGGCUAACUACGUACCAGCAGCUACAGCGAUAAUACGUAGGUGCAAGCGUUAAUCGGAAUUACUGGGCGUAAAGCGUGCGCAGGCGGUUCGGAAGAAGAUGUGAAAUCCCAGAGCUUAACUUUGGAACUGCAUUUUUAACUACUGAGCUAGAGUGUGUCAGGGAGUGCAAUUACCUGUAGCAGUGAAGUAGUAGAUAUGCGGAGGAACACCGAUGGCGAAGGCAGCCUCCUGGGAUAACACUGACGCUCAUGCACGAAAGCGUGGGAGCAAGCAAGUUAGAUACCCUGGUGAGAGUCCACGCCUAAACGAUGUCAACUAGCUGUUGGGGCCUUCGGGCCUUGGUAGCGCAGCUAACGCGUAGUUGACCGCACCAAGAAUACGGUCGCAAGAUUAAAACUCAAAGGAAUUGACGGGAUACUAGGCGGCGGUGGAUGAUGUGGAUUAAUUCGAUGCAACGCGAAAACCUUACCUACCCUUGACAUGUCUGGAAUCCCGAAAGAGAUUUGGGAGUGCUCGCAAGAGAACGGAACACAGGUGCUGCAUGGCUGUGUCAGCUCGUGUCGUGAGAUGUUGGGUUAAGUCCGCAACGAGCGCAGCGCGGUAUUGAUUUGCUACGAAAGGGCACUCUAUUGAGACUGCCGGUGACAAACCGGAGGGAAGGUGGGGAUGACGUCAAGUCCUCAUGGCCCUUAUGGGUAGGGCUACGUCAUACAAUGGUCGGGACAGAGGGUCGCCAACCCCGCAGAGAGGCCAAUCCCAGAAACCCGAUCGUAGUCGGAUCGCAGUCUGCAACUCGAGCUGCGUGAAGUCGGAAUCGCUAGUAAUCGCGGAUCAGCAUGUCGCGGUGAAUACGUUCCCAGGUCUUGUACACACCGCCCGUCGCACCAUGGGAGUGGGUUUUACCAGAAAUAGUUAGCCUAACCGUAAGAGGGCGAUUACCACGGUAAGUUCAUGACUGGGGUGAAGUCGUAACAAAGUA
Molecule: ribosomal RNA, 1459 nt
Filed under: uncultured Bordetella sp.
Lineage: Bacteria; Pseudomonadati; Pseudomonadota; Betaproteobacteria; Burkholderiales; Alcaligenaceae
Description: partial 16S-23S ribosomal RNA intergenic spacer
Rfam family: Bacterial small subunit ribosomal RNA
Source: RNAcentral